This 490-nucleotide ribosomal RNA is filed under the name uncultured bacterium. RNAcentral's name for it is "partial 16S ribosomal RNA". It matches the Rfam family "Bacterial small subunit ribosomal RNA", at positions 29 to 506 of the family's 1533-position model. The record is from RNAcentral.
GUGAACGCUGGCGGUAGGCCUAACACCUGCAAGUCGAACGGCAGCACCGUAAGAGCUUGCUCUUACGGGUGGCGAGUGGCGGACGGGUGAGGAAUACAUCGGAAUCUACUUUUUCGUGGGGGAUAACGUAGGGAAACUUACGCUAAUACCGCAUACGACCUACGGGUGAAAGCAGGGGAUCUUCGGACCUUGCGCGACUGAAUGAGCCGAUGUCGGAUUAGCUAGUUGGCGGGGUAAAGGCCCACCAAGGCGACGAUCCGUAGCUGGUCUGAGAGGAUGAUCAGCCACACUGGAACUGAGACACGGUCCAGACUCCUACGGGAGGCAGCAGUGGGGAAUAUUGGACAAUGGGCGCAAGCCUGAUCCAGCCAGACCGCGUGGGUGAAGAAGGCCUUCGGGUUGUAAAGCCCUUUUGUUGGGAAAGAAAAGCAGCAGGUUAAUACCCCGCUGUUCUGACGGUACCCAAAGAAUAAGCACCGGCGAACUUCGU